RNAcentral lists this long non-coding RNA (579 nucleotides) under Homo sapiens (human). Its description in RNAcentral is "non-protein coding lnc-RESP18-2:3". Lineage: Eukaryota; Metazoa; Chordata; Mammalia; Primates; Hominidae. The record is from RNAcentral.
CUUCAGCACCGCGGACAGCGCCAGCGGCUCGGGACAGCGCGAGGAGAGAUGCCUAAGAGACACCCUCCCCAGCCCCACCCAUGCCCUCUUUCCCCCGACCGGGGGAAGUGUGCUAGAACCUCUUCUGAGUUCCAGGCCAUUAUAGGAUGCUUUUCCAUAUUUGGGAAGGAAAUUCCUCUUUCAGAAUUUGGCCAAAACCUCUCCUGCAGUAAUUCUAUGAAUCUCUCUCCCUGCACCUGGAAGGUUUCUUCCCUAUCACUCAGUUAAGCAAACAGAGGCUUUUAAGGAUACAGACUCACAAAUUCUUAAAAUCCAAAACAAGAUCCCAUGCUUCCUUUUAAGAAAUUCAGGCCUGAUUCCUACUCUCCUCCCAGCUUAAGGCCUUCUUUAGAAUGAAAGAAUAAAUUGCAUCUGCUUCUCCCGUUCCCAGCCUGUCCACCCAUCUGCCCAUUCUCUGUGAGUGGGUGUCUGAGCCUCUGCUCACCUUUUCCUCUACAGGCUGUCUAUUUGACCGCAGGCUCUGCUCUCACCUGGAAGUCUGUAUUCAGGAUGGCUUGUUUGGGCAGUGCCAGGUGGGAG